AACGCACAUUGCGCUCCCUGGUAUUCCGGAGAGCACGCCCGUUCCAGAAUCAGUAAAAAUCUCACCCAAGUUUGGGGUUUUCGGACCUCAGGCCCAGGUGGACUUUGGAUUUUUGCGUCAGCAAUCAUCUUAAACUCAGUGUAUGUACACCAAAGCUCAAGUCUUUUGGUUGUCAAAGUGCAACAGAUUUUUCUUUUCGCUUGGACAAUUGAUGGACCGUUUUGGUGGACGUGCUCCAAGUCUCAACACGGAUUCCUAAACCGGAUGGUUUGGGGCUCUGCAACUUGAUCUGGAAUCGGGCGGGAAAACCCGCUGAACUUAA
This 322-nucleotide unclassified non-coding RNA is filed under the name uncultured fungus. RNAcentral's name for it is "sequence contains 5.8S rRNA gene, ITS2, 28S rRNA gene". The record is from RNAcentral. Lineage: Eukaryota; Fungi.